This 330-nucleotide ribosomal RNA is filed under the name uncultured bacterium. Its description in RNAcentral is "bacterial SSU rRNA". It matches the Rfam family "Bacterial small subunit ribosomal RNA", at positions 568 to 898 of the family's 1533-position model. The record is from RNAcentral.
UGUGUAGGCGGUUGCUUAAGUUUGGUGUGAAAUCUCCCGGCUCAACUGGGAGGGUGCGCCGAAUACUGAGUGACUCGAGUGCGGGAGAGGAAAGUGGAAUUCCUGGUGUAGCGGUGAAAUGCGUAGAUAUCAGGAGGAACACCGGUGGUGUAGGCGGCUUUCUGGACCGUAACUGACGCUGAGACACGAAAGCGUGGGUAGCAAACAGGAUUAGAUACCCUGGUAGUCCACGCCCUAAACGAUGCACAUUUGGUGUGGGUCAUUCAGUUGAUCUGUGCCGGAGCUAACGCGUUAAAUGUGCCGCCUGGGGAGUACAGUCGCAAGGCUGAA